AUUGAACGCUGGCGGCAGGCCUAACACAUGCAAGUCGAGCGGAGCGGCGGACGGGUGAGUAAUGCCUAGGAAUCUGCCUGGUAGUGGGGGAUAACGUCCGGAACCGGGCGCUAAUCUCACAUACUCUCAGAUGAGCCUAGGGCGGAUUAGAUAGGUGGUGGGGUAAAGGCCUACCAAGGCGACGAUCCGGAACUGGUCUGAGAGGCUGAUCAGUCACACUGGAACGGAGACACGUCCCAGAUUCCGACGGGAGGCAGCAGUGGGGAAUAUUGGACAAUGGGGGAAAGCUUGAUCCAGCCAUGCCGCGUGUGUGAAGAAGGUCUUCGGAUUGUAAAGCACUUUAAGUUGGGAGGCGUUACCGACAGAAUAAGCACCGGCUAACUUCGUGCCAGCAGCCGCGGUAAUAC
This 407-nucleotide ribosomal RNA is filed under the name uncultured bacterium. RNAcentral describes it as "partial 16S ribosomal RNA". It matches the Rfam family "Bacterial small subunit ribosomal RNA", at positions 30 to 526 of the family's 1533-position model. The record is from RNAcentral.